Molecule: ribosomal RNA, 892 nt
Filed under: uncultured bacterium
Lineage: Bacteria
Description: bacterial SSU rRNA
Rfam family: Bacterial small subunit ribosomal RNA
Source: RNAcentral
AUCUACCCUUUUCUGGAGAAUAGCCCUUAGAAAUGAGGAUUAAUACUCCAUAGUAUAACAAUUUCGCAUGUUAUUGUUAUUAAAGCUUCGGCGGAAAAGGAUGAGCAUGCGUCCCAUUAGUUUGUUGGUGAGGUAACGGCUCACCAAGACUGCGAUGGGUAGGGGGCCUGAGAGGGUUAUCCCCCACACUGGUACUGAGACACGGACCAGACUCCUACGGGAGGCAGCAGUGAGGAAUAUUGGUCAAUGGACGAAAGUCUGAACCAGCCAUGCCGCGUGCAGGAUGACUGCCCUACGGUUGUAAACUGCUUUUAUACAGGAAGAAACCUCUUUACGUGUAAAGAGCUGACGGUACUGUAAGAAUAAGGACCGGCUAACUCCGUGCCAGCAGCCGCGGUAAUACGGAGGGUCCAAGCGUUAUCCGGAUUUAUUGGGUUUAAAGGGUACGUAGGCGGAAUAUUAAGUCAGUAGUGAAAGCCCAUCGCUUAACGAUGGAACUGCUAUUGAUACUGAUAUUCUUGAAUAUAGUUGAAGUAGGCGGAAUACGGCAUGUAGCGGUGAAAUGCAUAGAUAUGCCGUGGAACACCAAUCGCGAAGCAGCUUACUAAGCUAUUAUUGACGCUAAGGUACGAAAGCGUGGGGAGCGAACAGGAUUAGAUACCCUGGUAGUCCACGCUGUAAACGAUGAUUACUCGGUGCUGGCGAUACAAUGUCAGUGCCCAAGCGAAAGUGAUAAGUAAUCCACCUGGGGAGUACGAUCGCAAGGUUGAAACUCAAAGGAAUUGACGGGGGCCCGCACAAGCGUGGAGCAUGUGGUUUAAUUCGAUGAUACGCGAGGAACCUUACCUGGGCUUAAAUGCAUAAUGACAGACUGGGAAACCAGUCCUUCUUC